GUGCAAGCCUAUUCAGUCUGGGGCUUGCUGAUCAACCUUCCUAUCAACAAAGAAAAACAAGAUCAUAUAAAAAAAAUUAUCAGUGAGCCGGGCAGUGGUGGCACACACCUUUAAUCCCAGUACUUAUGAGGCAGAGACAGGUAGAUUUCUGAGUUCAAGGCCAGCCUGGUCUACAGAGUGAGUUCCAGGACAGCCAGGGCAAUACAGAGAAAUCCUGUCUUGAAAAACAAAACAAAACAAAACAAAUCAGUGGUGGAAAAACUAAGAGCAAAAGAAUUGCUAUGUCCUUGUCAGACAUCACUUCCCCAGCUGCUGGGGUCAUAGGAUGAGUCGUGACUCAGGCUGAAAGCAGAUGGCUAUAAUUACUUCUUCAGGUAAAUAUUAAUAUUGCCAUCUCUCUAAGCAGGAGGGUUAGGAAAGCAUUUCUCUAUUUUUUUCUUGGCCCUUAAAAUGGCUCUGGUAUCCAGUCACCAGAUGCCAGCAGAUGCCAGUGUGCCACAGGGUUCCACCAACAUCUCAGCAGGUGUCAUCUGUAGCAACUGAGGGGAGCUGCACCAAGGCUGCACCACUGUUCCUGUUUGAAAGAGUGAAACCAUCUCUCUCCCUUUCAGUCUGUCUUGGCCUAUCACCCUGACUUUGCACUCUUCUACUUGAAAAAUAACUUCUCUUCAAAGUCCUUAAUAAUAAGCAAUGAAAUUGGCUGGAUUAAAUUAUGACGAUGCCUGGGUGUGUGCCUUGGAAGUAGAGCAUGAGUGUAGAUUCUGAAAUUUUUAGCUUUGGCAAGCAGAGUGCAAAUUGUGGCCUAGUUUCAAAAUGUUUAUUGGAAGCAAACUCAUAAUAGAAUUGAAAACUGUCCUUUCUGGAAAACAUUCAUAAAAAAUUGACUUUGUUUAUGUUUUUGCACCUAAAGUAUUUAUUUCCACACUUCAUCUAUAAACUCUUUUAUAGUAGUUAAAUAUUUAGUAUUGAACUAGUAGUAUAGAAAAUGAAGUGAAACGUUUUCUUUGAAGUAUCAGCAUUUUAGCUGUAGCUUCCAUAUCAUCUAUGAAAAUACUAAUAUAAUUAGAAAAAUAUCACUGACACAGCAUUCAUUUACCAUUAAUAAAACAGAUCCAGAACCACCUUUUCCUCCUGGGGUUUUGAGAUAAGCUCUCAUCUAUGUAGCUGAGACUGGCCUCAAAUUUAUCCUAUCUCAGCCUUCUUGGUGAGAUUACAAGAAUUUGCCACCAAUCCAGACUAAAAAUCAUCUCCAUUUAAAAAAAACUAUAAAUAAAACCUAGUUAAAACCUAUUUAGUAAGAGUAACUGUGAUAUAAAGAGAUAUCUUCAGUAAAUAAUGAGUAACAUUGCUUGACUCUAUCUGGGCUUCCUCUUCCUCAUUUACAAACAUGGAAAACAGUAUUGUUUUACUGGUUUCAUAUCAAAUGACCAUUAAAUCAUUUAUUAUGUCUCAUAUACACAUAUGCAUAUACACACAUAUAUAUAUACAUACAUAUACACAUACAUAUAUACAUACAGAUAUACAUAUAUACAUACAGAUAUACAUAUGUACAUACAUGCAUAUAUACAUACAUACAUAUAUUCAUAUGCACACAUACAUAUAUACAUGUGUGAGUGUGUGUGUGAGAGAGAGAGACAAUGACUUUUGAAACCCACAGGCAGGAACUUGGGUUUCCUGCAUUCUUCCCAUUCCACACCCUGCUUCUGAUCUUCACUUUUCAGUGACAAAAAAAUUGGGAAAGAUGGACCAAAUGGUCUCACUUUUUUUUCCUUAUGUUUCUGUAAUCUUGUUUUUAUUUAAAAUGUAGGGGAUAAAUAUUCAUAAGUUAAUGAUUAGUAAUUUAGUUAUCAGUUAUUUCAUUAAAAAUAAUCUUAGAAUUCAGGAACUGUGUUUGGAGCUUAGAAGGAAUGUAGGAAUUUAGAGAAUUUAGGAAUUUAGAGUGUCUCCCAAAGUCCUGUGUUAAAAAUGUUAGUCACAUCUUGGCUCUCUAAGCAUAGGAGAAACUUAUAAGGUGGACCUAGAAAACACUCAGAGAGCUUGUCUUCCAAGGCCAUCUUGAGACAGACUUUUGUUAUUACUCUUUGCUCUCUUACCACAUGAUGCUCUACCAUAACCACCUAAGCCGAUAUUCGACAUCAGUACAAGCCUAGAGGCAAAGGAGCCAAUGACCAGACCAUUGAAGGGUCUGCAAGUAUGUGCUAGAAUUAAUUUUUACUCCCUUUAAGUUGUUUGGCUUAAGUAUUUUGUUCAAACAGAAAUCACACAGGUGAUAUAUUUAAUAAUAGUUUGUUCUAGGAUAGCAACAACCACUUUGAAUUUUAUAGAAUCCUAUGUUAAAUUUCAGUUGGACCUUUGUGAACAUGUUAUUUGAGUCCAUGAAUAUUGAAGUUUUCCAUAGCCUAAGCAGUUCUUAUAAUACCUAAGACCAGUCAAUGCUUUUAGUGGGCUACUUGAUAAAACUGAUACAUAUAUGGAUAUAUCUAAGUCAUUUUUCAAAGUGUUCAUCUUUUUAAUAAGAAAUACUGUUCCCUAUUUCUUUCUUUAUUUCUUUAACUUUUGAGGACUUUAUAUACAUCAAUUGUUCCUUGUCCAUUAGAACCAGUAAAAAUAUGAUAAGUACAUAUUAUGCUUCUAAAUCCAUCCUAUUACAAAAUCUCAAGAAGUUUGGAGUGGAAUACCAGUGUGGUGGUCAUGCAUGCAUGUCUAUUAUUAACUUUUUGAGGUACUGUUGCCCUAUCUGGAUUCUAUCAUUAUGCUGCAUGCUUUAUUACUACAGCUAACCUGUCCCCCAAGGUCUUAACUAUAAAAGACCAAGGGCUAGUGAAUUAAGUGUUAAUUUAAUUCAAAGUUAACAAGCAACACACAAUGUUGACAACAAUUUUGCCUGGAAAAUCACAACUAAACAUAUGUGUCUACAUUCUUUAUUAUUCUUCAAACUUUGUUACUCUAUACCCUACUGAAAGGAACAACUUAUUUAUCAAGUCAUUCACUGAGUAAAUUUUUCUGUGGUGCCACAUGGAUAGAUAAUAGAAAGUCUGGUAAAACAACAGACCUGAGAACCGGCUUGUGUCUGAAUUAACCACACCCUUUCUGAAGUGAAAGAGAAUAAUUGGGCCACUUGUGUCACAAGCACAGAACUUGGUGCUUGUGAGGGUAUAUUCCACUCACGAACAUACCCAUAUUUGGAAGGGCAUAACACAUUAUAUUUAUUUGUGAGGAAUGAACACAACACUCCAUACUUGAAUAUAAGCAAUGUCUUCAGCGUUCAAUCUAGGUAUACAUGAUUUAAAGUAGUAUGUGAUGUAUGUUAAAUGCAUGCAUCACUGAUCCUGUGUGCAUCCUUAGCCAAGUCAAGGACUGGGUGGGCCUUCCCAUCAUUGAAUAUAACCACUGUAAUGCUGGCAGACAAAUAAAAGAGUUUCAUCUGUAUCAGGACCGUUGCCCAUAGAAUGUGCAUAUCCAUAGUGCAGUGACUGUCACUUUUGCAAAAUUAUUUUACCUGUGAGAUGAUGCCAUUAUGCGAAUCCAGAAGAACGAGAAUGUUUACAAUCACUGGGAAUUAGGAUGCAUAUCCUGACAAGGACACACAAAGGAGCUGGAAACUCAUCCUGGAAUGAGAUUUAAUCACGGAGAUUUCAUUUAGGGAAGUGUGUAGUAAAGCCACAGGGCAAAGAUUUUAUUCUUGCCACAGGCCCCCAAACACACAUCUACCCACCCAUCCCUUGAGUGUAUGUUAAUUGUGAGCUCUAAAUGACUUGCCUUAGCAGAUAACUUUGGUAACUGCAAACUCAGCACUAUCAUCUUGUUCAUAAAAUAAAUUAGAAUUAUUCUUCCUCCAAGUGUUAUUGGCUUUCUCGAUCUGAAGUAUUACUUUUUUUACACACACAUCCAUUGAAAGCACAUGUCAGUCUUUGGUUUUUUGAAUGCUCACAACUGAGUCUUUAAAUUUUGCUUUAUUAAGUCAGGAAAACUCUACUCUUUGGGAAAAUUGGUGCUCUGUGUUUCUACACUUUAUGUGUUUUUGUGAGAGCCUUCUUUUUAAUUCUCAUACAUUUUUCUGUUUACUGAAUGGAGCAUAGUAUGAGGAAAAAAGGAAGUGUAGGGAGAAAUAGGUUACAGUAAAACUAACAGAUACUAAUUCAGUAUUCUUAUCCUUCCUGAAAAUGUCCACUGCACACAUAGCUUCCUAUUUUUUCUUAUUAGAUCAAAUAAAAUAGUAUUGAAAGACCCUUUUAAAAGGGCUGAAUGUACAAAGAGAUGAAUUCCAAUGAGAGCUAAUACUUUUUCUGAUUUUUAAAAAUUAUUUAUUGUAUAAACUUGUUCUAUGAGCCAGACUCUGUGCAAGGUUUAUAGAGUUAUCUGUAGCAUUGAAAGGUACCAGAUAUAGAGAACACAUGGCAAAAGAAACAUGCACAAUCAUGGUACCCGGGGAUAGUGGCAGGUGUGCUCUAUGCUAGGGACAGCCAGAGGAAAAACCUGUCUUCUAGAGAAUUCAUACAGCUCUGACAGUUUUUUGGUAGAUAACCUUGCAUGGGAGACUGGAGCCAAGACAAUGAUGGUUAGUGAUGUAGAGAGCUAAUACUCUUAUUUUUCAAAUUAACAGAGGUGUAGAGGUCAACAGCCAUGUAUAUAACAGUGAAAGUUUGAUUAGGAAUCAUUACCUAGUUGAUUUCCAGACACAUGCUUAAGAUUGUGGCAAUUUUCAGCCUAAGACUGGAUUGGAACUUAACUCACUAGAAAACAAAAGAAGCAUAACUUUGACACGUGUUAAUAUAUUUAUAGGAAUUUCUAGUUCUUAAACUCAGUUACU
This 4810-nucleotide long non-coding RNA is filed under the name Mus musculus (house mouse). RNAcentral's name for it is "long non-coding RNA chr5:19281998-19286808". Lineage: Eukaryota; Metazoa; Chordata; Mammalia; Rodentia; Muridae. The record is from RNAcentral.